Small nuclear RNA from Protopterus annectens (West African lungfish), 164 nucleotides. RefSeq annotates it as U1 spliceosomal RNA. The transcript has a single exon. The record is from RefSeq and is a predicted model, not a curated record. NCBI's taxonomy places the organism in Eukaryota, Metazoa, Chordata, Ceratodontiformes, Protopteridae.
CCCCCUACCAGUAAGUAUGAACUAUGAUCAAGAAGGUGAUUUUCCCAGGGUGAGGAUCUUCCAUUGCACACUUUAGUUGGCUUGACCCCUGUGACCUUCCCAAAUGUGGGAAACUCAACUGCAUAAUUUAUAGUAGUGGGGGUCUGCAUUCUUGCAGUCUCUUG